GACGAACGCUGGCGGCGUGCUUAACACAUGCAAGUCGAACGGCAAGGCCCUGCUUUUGUGGGGUGCUCGAGUGGCGAACGGGUGAGUAACACGUGAGAAACCUGCCCUUGACUUUGGGAUAACUUCAGGGAACUGGGGCUAAUACCGGAUAGGAGCUCCUGCUGCCUGGUGGGGGUUGGAAAGUUUCGGCUGUUGGAGAUGGACUCGCGGCUUAUCAGCUUGUUGGUGGGGUAGUGGCUUACCAAGGCUUUGACGGGUAGCCGGCCUGGGAGGGUGACCGGCCUCAUUGCGACUGAGGUACGGCCCAGACUCCUACGGGAGGCAGCAGUGGGAAAUAUGGCACAAUGGGCGGAAGCGUGAUGCGGCAACGCCGCGUGCGGGAUGACGGCCUUCGGGUGGUAAACCGCUGUCUCCGGUGACGAAGCGUGAGUGACGGUAAUGGGUAAAGAAGCACCGGCUAACUACGUG
This 468-nucleotide ribosomal RNA is filed under the name uncultured bacterium. RNAcentral's name for it is "partial 16S ribosomal RNA". It matches the Rfam family "Bacterial small subunit ribosomal RNA", at positions 28 to 507 of the family's 1533-position model. The record is from RNAcentral.